AUACGUAGGUGGCAAGCGUUGUCCGGAAUUAUUGGGCGUAAAGCGCGCGCAGGCGGUCCUUUAAGUCUGAUGCGAAAGCCCACGGCUCAACCGUGGAGGGUCAUUGGAAACUGGAGGACUUGAGUGCAGAAGAGGAAAGUGGAAUUCCAAGUGUAGCGGUGAAAUGCGUAGAGAUUUGGAGGAACACCAGUGGCGAAGGCGACUUUCUGGUCUGUAACUGACGCUGAGGCGCGAAAGCGUGGGGAGCAAACAGGAUUAGAUACCCUGGUAGUCCACGCCGUAAACGAUGAGUGCUAAGUGUUAGGGGGUUUCCGCCCCUUAGUGCUGCAGCUAACGCAUUAAGCACUCCGCCUGGGGAGUACGGUCGCAAGACUGAAACUCAAAUGAAUUGACGGGG
This 397-nucleotide ribosomal RNA is filed under the name uncultured bacterium. Its description in RNAcentral is "partial 16S ribosomal RNA". It matches the Rfam family "Bacterial small subunit ribosomal RNA", at positions 523 to 918 of the family's 1533-position model. The record is from RNAcentral.